AUUGAACGCUGGCGGCAUGCUUUACACAUGCAAGUCGAACGGUAACUGGCCGCAAGGUGCUGACGAGUGGCGAACGGGUGAGUAAUGCAUCGGAACGUGCCCAGUCGUGGGGGAUAACUACUCGAAAGAGUAGCUAAUACCGCAUACGAUCUAUGGAUGAAAGCGGGGGACCGUAAGGCCUCGCGCGAUUGGAGCGGCCGAUGUCAGAUUAGGUAGUUGGUGGGGUAAAGGCUCACCAAGCCAACGAUCUGUAGCUGGUCUGAGAGGACGACCAGCCACACUGGGACUGAGACACGGCCCAGACUCCUACGGGAGGCAGCAGUGGGGAAUUUUGGACAAUGGGCGCAAGCCUGAUCCAGCAAUGCCGCGUGCAGGAAGAAGGCCUUCGGGUUGUAAACUGCUUUUGUACGGAACGAAACGGCUCUGGUUAAUACCCGGGGCUAAUGACGGUACCGUAAGAAUAAGCACCGGCUAACUACGUG
Molecule: ribosomal RNA, 482 nt
Filed under: uncultured bacterium
Lineage: Bacteria
Description: partial 16S ribosomal RNA
Rfam family: Bacterial small subunit ribosomal RNA
Source: RNAcentral